Non-coding RNA from Rattus norvegicus (Norway rat), 24534 nucleotides. NCBI's taxonomy places the organism in Eukaryota, Metazoa, Chordata, Mammalia, Rodentia, Muridae. The record is from RefSeq and is a predicted model, not a curated record.
CCCUAACCCCCCACCCCACUCACUGCCCCCCAGUCCUGGGAAGACACGGUCUGCAUGAUGGUUAAUGUAUGAACUCGACAGAAUCUAGGAGGCAAAUCUCUGAGUGUAUCUCUGCAAGAACCUUGGAAGCUGCCUUGUAUUCCCGGUACUCAACAGUCCCAUAACUGACCAUGGCCACACUCAAGACACCCAAGAGAAUGUAGAGUUUGGUGCUCACACACAGAAAUGAGCUGUAUCCAAAGGCAAUGACAAACCCUACGGCUUCCCCAAGGCGGUAGUUGGCAAAAGCAGGCUCUUUGUUCUCUUCAAACAGGACACCGAAAAGAACUGUGGAGGAGAGACCAGAGUGAAAUGCUGUGCAAGACCUCAAACAGGGCUGGAGAGACGGCUCCGUGGGUUAAGUGCCCAUGGGCAAGCAUGACAGCCUGCGUUCAGACUUCCAGCAUCCACAGAAAAUGCGAGGCUCAAGAAACACGGCUACCAACAGGAUGGCCAGGACACCGCUGCCUAGAAAGACACACAGACGCACGUCAGUGAUAUCUGGAUCAACCUUGUUCCACCCCUCCCCAUCUCCACAGACAGCUAGCCAUCGGAUUGCAGGCGAUCCAAGAAGAAAGAAGCACAGAAGCCACCUGGGCAUGCGUCUCCCACCUCCUGCUCCCUCUUCCACCUCAGCCUCACCCUAGAGCACUGCACCUACCUCCACAUUGUAUGGGACUUUGUUGGCCAGCACUGGCCAUCGACUCUGCUGUCUGAAAUCAGCUCCUGGGAUUGGCCCAGUUCUAUAACUGGCAAGCGGGGCAAGGACAAACACGGCCUCCCAUCAUCACAAAUUAUACAGUGCAUUCAGCACAUUUGGGGAAACCACAGGGGCUGACCCAGCCAGAGCGCAAUGAGAAACCAUUGUCCUGGGAAACUGCCUUCGUGAUGGCGGCGUCCCUUGUGACAGGGACAUGAGCUGUUCAUCUGGGAUGGCGUCUAUUGAAGUUGGAAUCAAGAAGAUGAGCGAGGAUAUCAGGUUGCCCCACACUCCGGAAGAUUGGAAUAUGAGGAAAAAGAUGCCAAAAUACUGGUUCACCACAUCUUUGCCCAGCUUUCCCACUUUUUCUGCUUGCAGAUUCCCAAUGACGGUGAGGUAGGAGUGCCACAUUCCUAUACAUUUGAUUUGACAGUACCUCAUACGUCCAGGGAAGUUGCCAGCAGUGCAGAACAUGGAACGUCCUUCUGUCCUGAAGAAUAAAGCAGAAACCAUCAACUUUCAGACUCGCCAUCCAACUUCUGAAAACCCAUUUAAUGUGAUACUAUCCAGGGCCAAGGACUUAGAAGUGCAAAGACAGGUGAUUUUUGCAAUGUUGCAAUGAUGUUUCAAGUGAUAGGAUAUGGUAAUUCGUCACAUGCAGAGAGCAAUUUUAUAGGUACCACUCCAUAGGAAAUAAUUUGCAUUUGAAAUCUUAGACUUAUCAUAAAACAGCAAAGCCCAGGGUUUCAGCCCAGAGCUGUGCCUGUUGUUGACUCGGCAACUGCCAAUCGUGUGGCCGCUGGGUUCUUAAGGCAUAGCUGUCAUUCUCUGUGGAACUGAAUUUGGAUUUCAUUUAGUUAAUUAACAUUAAAAACUCAGGUGGGCAAGUGUCAGAUAGGCCACACCCAGAGUGUCAAAGGGUGUUUUACUCACCGUGUACAAGUAAAAUAAGAAAUACUCCACGCUGGACACGGUGAUAGGAUCCUUUAAUUCCAGCACUCUGGAGGCAGAGGCAGGCAAAUCUCUUAUGAGUUUGAGGCCAGCCUGGUUCACAUAGAAUUCCAGGCCAGCCAAAGCUCUAUAGUGAGACCUUCUCUCCAAAAACCAGCUUCUACCCAGUUGUUAGUACAGCUAACUGUUCUUAAGACUGCUCCCAAGGUGCUGUGUCCUUGGUCAUUUCUGUGAAGUGAGGACCAAGCAAGGAAUCUUACAGCCUUGGUAACUGGCAUGACCCCCUGUCAUGCAGAUAAGACUCUCAGAGCAUAAUUGGUUUCUAUGAAAAGACAAGCCUUGUGGGAUUCAUUGGUUUAAAUAUUUACCAAACAUGGUUCGUUACACUGAUACACACACGAGAGCCAUACCGCUCUAGCAGGAUAUUCUAAUGGGGGCAGGAGGAGAUGGUCCAGCCUCACAAGCACUGGGGAACCUGAGUUUGAUCCCAGUCCAUGUUAAAAUACCGGGCAUACUGAGUACUUAGAAUGCCAGAGGUGGAAAGAGAGGGGAGAGAGAGAGAGAGAGAGAGAGAGAGAGAGAGAGAGAGAGAGAGAGAGAGAGAGAGACCGUCCCUGGGACUCGCUGGCCAGCCAAUCUAGCCUAAUUGGUGACCUCCAAACCAAUGAGAGAGCCUGUAUCAAACUGGCUAGAGGGCAUGCCUGAGGUUGGGCUGCCAAAGACCAAGAGGCUAACAGCACAAGGAACCGUGGAGCUGCCCUGAUUCAUAGAAGUCGGCAGCGAAUGCCAGUAAGACAGGGUGAGUGGGAGUAGCAUUUAAAGGAGAGUAAUGCUUAGCGUAUUUUCAUGCAGACGUUCACACACUAGCCUUGCUGUCAGCCAAUGAACGUUUAACUUCAUCCUUUGGUGAUGCUUUAGUAGGCUCCAUCAUCCUGUCUAUAAUUACCCCAAAAUGGCUUGUGUGUGAUGGGAGAGCUCUUCGUGUCUUCUUCUGCUAAUAGUCUCUUUCUCCAUUGGCUCCUCAAACUUAUUAGGACUAUGUCGUGGGGUCGACAACUGGCCCUGGGAGCAGCUUCUCUAAUAGCAGCUGUUCAGCCCCCCACACCCCAUCUAGGGAGGAAACGUCCUUUUAACCUUAGGACUCUGGAUCACAUAAUUCACCAGCCAUCAGGGACGACUGUUCUGCCACUGACCAAAGCAGGGACUUUGAGAUUGACAGUCACUUUAAUCAGUAAACUCCCCACUGAGACGCCCAAGCAACGGCUGGCUCGCUCUCUUAGAGUAAAUGCUCUCCUGAGCAAGCUCCUGUUCGUUUUCUUGGCGUUUACAUCUGAAAUCUAAAAGCAGCACCGAAAGAAUGAUCCUUGGCUCUAUUAUUUCUCUGCCAGAAAAAUGAAACAUGCCUACUCAGAGAAUGGGGGUUGCCACUCCCUUUAGGAAUUCUGGAAUUCUCACGCUCUGGGAAUAGUCAGACUUCGUUCCUCCCCCUCUACUCCCUUAGCAAUUUGUAUCCGCACAACUGCAGCUUACAAAGAUGUUUCCUCUUAGUACUGUGUGCCUGCCACCUCAGAGUUUUCUGCCAACUCCACAGUGUAGCAGCAAAAGCCUGGCUAAGCGAAUGGCCUCCUGAAUAACCGGAGAGCUUGCCUGGACAUGGCGCUCUUCCUCAGUGAGCCAGAGCCAUUCCAGUAAAAGCGAAACCCUUCGGCUAUUUUCUACUGCUUUCCAGAGAGCCCAUCUUGCCACAGACAGUAGAAACUGCCCUCCUACUCCCACUACUGAUGAAUCCCGUGGAGCCCCAGGUUGGUGGAGAUUGUGAUCACCUGGGAAUCUGGGUCUUGCUCUCAGAGGUUCGAGAACACACGUCUACUGCUGACGUAAUUACAGUGGCCUGAUGAGCCAGUCACUCUUGACGGCGCAGUCUGCAGAGUCCUGACCAUGACAUCCAGUCUGGCUAAGGUACUGCCACUCUGUACAGAAGGAGGUUCAGCCCUCCCUAUAAUGCUCCUGCAGCGCCCAGCUGACCAGAGCUCAGGGAGUCACUAUUCAUUCCAUCCUCAUGUUCUAAAGCAUGACACCAGGCCAUGUUUUAGGAUGCACCUGUGCAUACAUGCCUACACACAUAUCUCCAGGGCUGUAGACACAGCUCUUCCUCUGCAUUAAGCCACAGACAGAUACUUCCUGGGGCCGUCCCCAGGAAUGGGGGUUAUUACAAAGCUGGAGCUGACUGCUGACAGGGCGGCCAGCAGCCUGUGCUCAUGGGCUAAGUUGCAGGGGAGGAAACAGAUACAAACAAAACAACCAAGCAAAUUCAGAAGUCAAUCACGCAAACUCACGUGACUAUAGGCAGAGCAGGCACCAAAACCCAAUUAGGGCAGAAAACACACAUACAAAUCCAUUCCUACCAGGGCAGCAGAGUAAACCCCACCACCUAGAGCAGCCGGGAAACUACCCAGUGCCCCCAGGGAAGAUUAUCUGCCAUCUGGAAGGCAAAGCCAGGUUCUGUAGCUUGCAUAGCUUCUCAGUUUAGUGAAGCAGGCAGCUCCCUGUGAUCUAAUAACCCGCAGUUAGAGGCCAAGAUCUGGACAGCGGAGGAACGAACAACAUCAUGUGUAUCCACAGCACUCAAAAAAGGUACACACUAGUGGUCAUUGAGCUGCUGUGUCCUGCAUGCUCUUGUAAUUGAUUGCUCUGUCCCCACAAGCAAAGCCGAGUAGUAUUUAUUCUGGAAGAGCUCAAAGGACGAGUAUGAACCCUGCUCCCACAACACACACACACACACACACACACACACACACACACACACGAACUGAUACUGAUACUCUGUCCGUUGCUAGAUAAAUGCCAUCCCCUGUCUACUUACCUAGUUCCGUGACCUUCUUGCUUCCUGUCGCUACCUGGCACGGGGCCUUUUUAAUCUUGGAAUGCCAAUGCGGUUUCCAGGUUAAAAUUUUAACGCACUGUUCAGAACUGUUGUGUUUUUCCCAGGGUGCAUUGGGAAAUCAUUGUUGGGCAACACUUGUUUUCGUACGAGCAAGUAGCAGAGCCUGUCUAUAAGGCACCACUUGACUGGCCAUGAUCAGAGCUACAGAACCAGUCAUGGGGAAGAUUUGGGGGCAGACUUCAGGGAGACAGACAGGGAAACAACUCAGUGAUGUUAAGGCCAGUUACAAAGGCUCCUACUAAAAAGUAGUGUCUGUGGCUGGUGAGAUGCUCAGUGGUGAAGACCAUUUGCUGCUCUUCCGGAGGUUUGGGGUUUAGUUCCCAGCACCCAUAUCAUGGCUCACGACAGUCUGUCCCUCCAGUUCCAGGGGAUCCCAAAACACACUUCUGGCCUCAAGGGUACUAGACAUGUACAUGACACACAGACAUACAUGUGGGCAAUAUACCCAAGCAUACCAAAUUAACAAUGAAAAAAUUAGUACCUGGUUGGAAAAGCAUAGGAAAAGUUAAUUUGCGUAUGUACACGUGGAUAUAUUAUAAAUAUAUGCCUUGGCAAAACACAUUGCAUUGCAUCUUCACUGUAUAUAUAGGAGCACAUGUCUGUGUGCACAUACUGUGUGCACACACCCACACACAGUGACUCUGGAGUUUGACUCAUCAAGCUCUCCUUGCAACUCAUAAGCAACCGAACUUAUAUAAGAAAAUGCACAUGCCUUUCUGUGUUCGAUGUACCUGUGUUCUAUUCUACCCUCUACAUUCAUCUAAUUUCACAACGAAAAGUGUUCUUAAGGAAACGAUACUUUCAAAGUAUCUUUAAAUAUUCUUAGGAAGAACUUUGCAAGGUAAACUGAGACAGCCACUGAGUGUGCGCAGUCCUCUUCUGCACUGGUCUGUGGGGAAUUAGCCAGGAUUAUGCCUUAGGUCACAUGCCUGGCCUCCUUCCAACCAUCAUACACAAACACCAAGUCAUAGGAAUUGCCUCGAUUUUAUGGGUUGCCUGCAUUCAUGAUCUAUGUCCACCCUGAUUAUUGAAGGCAUCUGUCCACAGCACAGCCCAGGGAUUAACCCAGAUGCCAGGAAGGAACAUACUAGCACAGGUACAGAAACAUUGAAGUGGGGAGGACCAGCCUGGGUCUCCUCUGCCCUGCUCUCCUUCCCGCAGGCCCUGGGUCAUCCAUUUGGGGCAAGUGAGUGGGAAACACCUUUGGGUUGGGCUAUUUACCAUGGUCUAGAGAGGAACACCAGGUCCCUCCUGGAGCCCAGAUGAACUCUGGUAGACACCUCUGAUCAGUUGGCAAGUGUCUCUUGAAUUCUGAACCUUAGAUGAGGAAGUGGCCUGCCACAAAACCAAGCCAGAUUCUUCUUCCCAGCCUGGACCUGUUGUUUGAGGGUUGUGCUUAGGUGGCCAGCAAGACUAGGUCAUUGACUGCCUCCUCUAAGGCAAGAAAACACAUACCUGGCCAUACCUGCCCAUCCCGUUUGGUCUGUCCCUCUUCGUUGUACUGCCUAGCAGGGACCCAAGGCUGAGAUGGCUGAGACAGCACAAGGAGGCUAGCACCCACUCAGCUAAGGAAAAAGUCAGGCUGAUGCUGUGCAUUGAGAGCAGGCAGCCAGGAUUGUGACUCACAAGGGAGGGCAGGAGCUCUGCGCUCACUGCAGUGGCUGUGGGAGGGGCUGGUCUUCACAUCUGGAUGUCAGGGUGCGCAUCACCCUACAGGUGAUGUCAGAGACCCCAGAUGAGACACGCACACUCCACGUGCACUCAAACAGCCGUAAACAUUCAAUCAUUAUGGUCCAUUUUCUGGAUCAUCAAAGAACCACAAAUAAGUAGGAGGUACUAGACUCCUGUCUUCCCAAGCCAGCAGCUGGCACCUGCUCACCUGGACACAUUUUGGUUUGUCUUAGUGUUAGAUUGUAACUCUUUUAUAAUCUGCUGUGUGGCUCCCAGGAGAUUGGGGGCUUUGGAGGUGAGGGCUUUGUUGGAAAUGCAGGGAAGAUUGUUCCCCCAUGAAGAAUUCAGCCAAUGAGGCAUUUAGGGGGAGCAACGAAAUGUGUUUAUAAAAGACAGGUUUGUGCCCAAUUGGUACACCAGGCAUUUUUUGCUUCUUAUCAUGGCUUCCCGGAAACCAAAAAUAAGUAAAUCUACCUGGCUUUGAGUAGUCUGAGUCUCCAGUGCUUUUAUGACCAAGUGGGGAUCGUUCCUCACACUAACCCUGAAUAGUCUGUGCCUGAACUGGGCAGGAGUCCAGGUGCUGUGUGAGGACAUUGUGGACUCAGUCAUGUGACUUCAAGUAAGCCAGAUGGCACUUUUAUCUUAACUCCAGUGGGAUUAGCUUAUAGCUGGCAUUGAUUAGAACAUCUCUGUGGCCUAAUAAGCCAUUGCCCUUCCCAAAAGGAGCUUGUAAGUCAGUUUUGGGAAAUAGUGAUCACAGUGUGUCACCUAGGUGCAGCCUGUUCCAAACGUUUCCAAUUUUCCCUGCCCUUUAGUUCUUUUGAGCUAUAGGAGCUGAGCUUCUGAACUCAUUUCCCCUCUCUUUUUUGAGUACCUACUGUGUGUUAUUCACUGUGGCCGACUGUCUCUGGGGAGCUGAAGAUGCCUAUCCUCACAGCCCACUAGGAAAUGUGAGGUAUUGCCAAUGUUAAGGGCACAGAGCAAUAUUCUCUGGUUCUGGCAGAAGGAACAAAUGGGCUAAAAGUGCUUGUGUACCUGCCUUGAAAUAUUUAUCUAUGCCCAGUGUUCCAAACAGCCUUGAAGACUUAUUCUGCAGAACAGCCCCGACCAGGAAGUGUCGAGAGUCAACAGGGCCUUGUAUAAGCAAAGUGGCCUAGGGUUGACUUAGUAGAAACUAAAGACUCCAUCAAUGUAGAGGUAAUUUGAGGGGCUGGGCACCUAGUCCCUCUGUUCCUUCAGAUUUGUUAGUGAAGAACAAUACCUAAGCUUGGAGGUAUAUGUGCAUGUGUCUGUGUACGCAUGUUUUUGUGUGUCUGUGUGACUGUGUGUUUGUGUCUGUGUGUGCCUGUGUAUGCCUGUGUCUGUGUGUGACUAUGUGUAUCUGUAUUUGUGUAUUUGUGUGUGUGAUUGUAUGUGUAUCUGUCUGUCUUUGUAUGUGAGUUUGCAUGUAUGCAUCUGUGUGUGUGCGCACCUGUAUGUGUAUGUAUGUGUGUGUCUGUGUGUCUGUAUGUGUAUCUGUGUGUCUCUGUGUGUUUUUAUGUGUAUGCAUUUAUGUGUGUGCACCUGUAUGUGUGUGUCUAUAUGUUUGUGUGUGUCUAUCUGUGUGUCUGUGUGUAUAUAUCUGUGUUUCUGUGUCAGCAUGUGUGUAUCUGUGUGUACAGGUGUGUGGGUAUCUGUGUGUACAUGUGUGUAUGUGUCUGUAUGCAUAUGUGUGUAUAUCUAUGUGUCUAUAUAUUCAUUUGUGUGUGUCUAUGUGUAUGUGUUUGUAUGCAUAUGUGUGUAUAUCUGUGUGUCUGUGUGUGUUUGUCUACAUGCGCCUGCACAUACAUUUCUCGGUGCAGAGGAGGAAGGGUUGAUUGAGCACACAGGGUUUGGUUCAUCACACCAGUGGCUCCAGAAAACCUUCCAACCAACCUCGUUCUCUUAUCUUUCACCCACCCCCCUUUCCAUGUGCCAUAUUCACUGCUUUGCUGAUAUUUGAGAGACAAGAAGAGCCACAGCUGAGAGAAAAACCCGCUGUCCUUGAACAUGUAUGAACACUACGCUUCCACUCACAGCCAUGCCUACUUCUGCUGCACCCAGGCUCUGAGGAAACAGUGAUGGCAGUGAUGGCAGUGAUGGCAGUGAUGGCUAUGCAGUCAGGCUCGGCUCUCCCCCUUUGUGCUGAAAGAGCAACCUCAUCACCAGCAACACAUUUUACGCCAUCCCACCCCGUGCUGCCCAGGUUUUCAGACCCAUGUGUGGAUGACCCAAGAACCUAGAGUACUGGAACUCUGAGUUACCGAAGGGUGACCUGGGACAGAAGAUUAAAGGUGCAGCCUCUUGUGGUGCCAUGCAAAACAGAAGUAAGCUCCAUCAAGAAUUAUUACAAGAAAGUGGGCAACUGAGGUAAGACAAAAAAAUUAGGGGAAAUGAGAGAAAGUGGGGGAGGGUGCAGGGCAUUGUAAGAGAGGAAAAGCCAUGAACUUCCUUGUCUGGGGACUUUUGUGGUACCAUGGCAGAAACUAGAUACAGGCGGGUUACUCUCUGGGCUCUUAUGCUCCCACACAUUUCACGCACGGCUCCCUGGCCCAUCAGAACUGUGGCCAUGCAGUGUCCAUGCAUGGGCUGCCCACCUAGUGGGGCAUUGAAACCCUGCCUUGUGACUUGUUAGCCACUGACCUCAAAUAUCUGCUGUUUAUCACUUGGUCAGUGUUACAACCUCGGAACUUACAAAUGUACAAGCCCUGAUAAUUCUGCUAAUUGUACUAAGCUCUGGUCAUUCUCACAGUCACAUAACCAGCUUGUAGCUUUACUGUGGGAAAGCGUUAACUCUAACACAGCCACCAAGAUGUAAUUGUCAUCUUUCUUGGUUACCUCACACCUUGUGUCCUGUCUGUGGUGUUUGGGCGGUCUCCUGAAAUAGGUAGAGGAUUCUUGUUGGAAGCUGUCCUCAGUUACAGCUGCGUGGUACAUUUACCUGUGUGAGAAAUAAGACUAUGUAAACUUGUCUCACCUGUUCCUCGGGGGCUUUGGGGCACCUCCUGGCCUGCUGCCUCUGCCUCAGAGCUCCAGCCUUCAUUGUUUAGCUUUGCCAUCUCACAUCCAGCUACUGAUCCUCUCAUUCACCUCAGAAUUCCAUGCCUUGCUGUGUUUGCCCAUAAGCAGUCUCUAACUCUGGUGUCUAUUCUCACAGCAGCAUGUGUGAUCGACUUGCAUUUUCACCACAGCCCUUCUCUUUCUGCAAAGAGCAGCUCCAGCCACAGCAGGAGUUCAGAACUGAGACAGGAGUAAGUCUAGCUGAGACUGCACUGUUCUCAGCUGUCCCGCAGCCAAGGGUAGUUGUACCUGUGAAUCCAGAAUGCCUUUUGAAGGAUGAUGUGACCUUUGAUCUAUGACCUUUGGCACUUGCUCUUUGAUUUCUUACCAACUGUAAGCUAAAGCUGUACCCUAGAUCCUAGAAGAAGGGAAGAGGAUCCCUAGUCCCUGGUGUACAUGGGAGCCUAUGCACCUACUUGGGCUGUUUCCCUCCUCACUUUUGGUUACUCUCAGAAGGCAGUAUGGGCUUGUGAAAGUUUAAGUUGCUGGUAUGUGUUGCAGUGAGAAUUGACAGCAUUGUGCUCACGGUGGGAAUCUAUUGUUACUGUAGGACUGGAGAACCUCACCUCAGUAUCUGCCACACUGACGUGGGGUUAUUUUGAGCUGGUGGCAACUGAAACGACAAAAAGAAGGGAGAGAUCUCUGCUCCUCUCCAUUGUGGUCAAAAUUCUAGUGGUUAGACUGAAGCCAGCGUUCCUUAGGAAUUUCUGAAAUUGGUUCCCUUCUACCAAAGGAGCCAUCACAUUAUUACUGGCAGAAGGGACAAAGGCUGUCUGUUCUGCCUACUUGCAUACCAAAGUGCAUGUUGGUCUCCUGUCUUCCUCCACAUUAAAGUACUCGUUACACAUUUCAGAGUCAAUGCUGGCACCCUGGCUCUGCAUACCCAGGCCCUCCCACUGUAAACUUCUCCAGCCCAGAAGCUUCUCUCUCCACUGCUACUCAUUUUUAUGAUCUUGCUGUUUUGGCUGUGUUGUAUAUUUUUAGCUUCCUCUCUUGCCCUUUUCCCUUGGUUGUCUCUUUCUCUCUCCUCAUGGCCAAGUCCAAUCUACUGGCCAUGUUCAGUCUAUAUUUUCUCUCUCUGCUCUGGACGAUUUCAGAUGUCUCUGGGUGGGUCUCCCUCAUACCUAUAAAUAAAACUGUAUAAAUAAAACUGUCCAUUUAACCAUAACUUGGAGCAGUCAUACACUCCCAUCUGCCUGAGCAAGCGGUAUAAACUUUCCAUGCGAAGUUGUUCCACCCUCUCCAUUUCAUGACCCGGAAGGGAAAACCACAACCUACUACAGCAAUGAGAUGGCAACAGCAAAGAACACGUGAGCAUAUAUGAACACAUGAACACAUAUGAGCACAUGAACACAUGUGAGCACAUGUAUACAUGUGAGCACAUGAACAUGUGUAAACACAUGUGAGCACAUGUGACUGCCUAUCUGGUACGUACCUUUUACUAGUGUGCUCAUUUUUUUUCUUUUUCUUUUUUUUGGAGCUGGGGACCGAACCCAGGGCCUUGCGCUUGCUAGGCAAUAGCUCUACCACUGAGCUAAAUCCCCAACCCCUAGUGUGCUCAUGUUUAAAUUUGUCAAGGAAAAGAACAAAACACACACAGGGUGGAUUAGAAUGGGCUCAAAGCACAUCAGGUAGAAUCAAGAGGCCAUUGCUGGCUAUACUUCAAGCACAGCUCCAGCAGAUCUUCUGAACUGGACUUAAGACACCCAUUCACUGCUGUGUAAGGGGACCUUGACACUGGGCCAGACCAUGGAUUCCUAUUAGCCUCUGCUGACCUUGUGUUUCAGACACACACACACACACACACACACACACACACACACACACACACACACAGAGAGAGAGAGAGAGAGAGAGAGAGAGAGAGAGAGAGAGAGAGAGAGAGAGAGUUUGAAGCAAAAGCAGGCUCCAGCAUUUUAUUAUUUUCUUUGAAUCCCUUUUUAUACCCCUUAAGACAAAGUUUUUCUAUUAGAAAUAAAAUUACUUCAUAGCCAUAAGCUACACAUUUUCAAGAAACAAUUCCACAAAAAUCAUUCCUUAAGAACUGAUUAAAAUCAUUAAACAAGUUUCCUCUUACUCUUAUAACAGGAUUAUUGAUUAAGUAUUUUUUUGAAAUUAUAUGUAAGUAAACAAUUCUUGUCUAUCUUUCCACAAGCCCAUUUAACCUAUAGGAGAUAAUUCUCUUGUUUUUGAUUAACAGAGACUAAGCAGGCCAAGUGUAUAGUAGUAAGUUUCUCCUUGUACUUUGCUCAGGACAAUCUGCAUUUACUAAGGUAUAGGUUACCUGUCUUAUGUCUUAUUUUUGACAUCUUGAUCAGCUAGACUGGCGAAUCCUCUGUUCUCUGUCAUAAUAGAAUUGUAUGGUCUUUAUUUUAACCCUUUUCUUUCCUGGUGCACACCAAGCAUCUGUUACCUCAUCCCCAGAUCACAAAAUGAAGGAACUCAGGCUUGACUUGGAGUGAAUGUUUCCUUUGAUCAUUAACUUGUCCCAAACCUAUUUUUCUUGCUACCUCAAUUAUGUGCUUGUACUGCAUGAACACUCACAGUACUCCUCUCUCUAACUCAUGCAGCUCUUGACAUUGUAUGAGGAAGGGACACAUUCUAUCCUUGAUUCUAACUACAUUUCCUAUCAACUACCCUAACAUCACAAAAUUAUUUAACUCAAGCUAACUUUCUAUAACUACCUAAAUCAAAUUAAGAAUUCCAUAAAAUCAUUAAUUCACCUGAACUGCAUCUCAAGAACAUUCUUCUUCAUGUUGACCUGCAGGAAACUUGCCCAACAGAGAGGGCUAUCACCCAGUGAGUAAUCACACCAGGCUAUAGGCAGUGAGGGUCUCCCAGUAUCCACUCACAAUGAGCCAAAUAAAUGAGGAAUAUGGCAAUGACCUGCAGGAGAAAGCGCAUCAGUAGUAAGAAGCAAUCCUGGGAUGAAGCCCCUAGGGUUGUACCUUUCUAGAGUGCACCCACUGCAGCAGAGCAAGACAGUGGGAGGUCUUGGGGGGGGAGUUCACUUGCGAAUUGUAGCUCUUCCUGGAGGGUGCCCACCACUGACCUAUGUUUCCAGGAAGGAAAUCUACCUCCUGUCUUGUCACCCUUCAGAGAGUUUGGGGAGAUGCCCCAUUCUGCUUUGGUUUAGAUGUAAAGCCCAAAAUGUGUAAAACUCCUAGCCAGAGUUUGUCUGCUUGUGUCCCUCAAAUUCAUGCUGAAACCAUCACCCUCACGUUGAUAAUAUUUGGAAGUUCAGGUUUUGGGUAAUGUCUUAUUCAGUGACCCAUUGGAGUGAAGAGACAGCAUAACCACAGCAAGUCUUAUUUUAAAAAGGGAGAGGGUAUACAAUUGGGGUUCGCUUACAUUUUCAGAGGUUCCACCCAUUUUCAUCAUGGAGGGGGAAUAUGAUGGGCAUGCCGGCAGAUUUGAUUUUGGAGAAGUAGCUGAGAGUUCUACAUCCAGAUCUGCAGGCAGCAGGAAGAGAGAGAGACACUAGGCUUGUCUUGGUAUUUUGAAACUUCAAAUUCCACCCUCAGUGGCACAUUUCCUACAUCAAGGUUUUCAAAUAGUGCCCCUCCCCAGUGACCAAACACUAAAAAUUAUAGGCCUAUGUGCACCAUUCUCAUCCAAACUACUACAGGAAGGACUAUGUUGAGUGGAUGAAACCUUCAUGGUGAGAUCUAUGCCCUAUGAAAGGGGUUUCAGAGGGAUCACUUUACACUGCAAGGACACAGCAAGAAGACAGACAUCUGCAGCCCUGAGAAGGGUCCUCCCAGAGUUUGGCCAUCAUACUGGCAUCUGAUCUUUGCCUCCAGAACAGUGGGAAGCACAGAUCUAUUCUUUUUUUAAUUAUUAUUUUAAAGGAAUAUUUUCAUAUUUGAUGUGACCUUUCUGAAUAGGAUUUUAAUAAAAGUAACAGAUUCUUUUUUUUAUUAACUUGAGUAUUUCUUAUUUACAUUUCGAGUGUUAUUCCCUUUCCGAUUUCUAUUCUUAAGGCGCUUGCUUGCAUCGCUGACCAGAUUAUUCCAGCCACAGUCAGCCAGCACAGAGCUUCUCACGACAGCCCCAAGAGCUACUCAUAUUUCUGCCUAGGGAACAUCUUGCUUUUAGGAACAUAAACAAACGUUCUGUUGCUCAAAGCCUUGCAAAUAAUCAUCUUAUGCUCUUCCCAAACUUGCUAUGCCCAGGCUAAUACUCACUGAUCUUUCUCCAAGCCUCAGAGCAAUCUGCUUGGGUCCAAAUCAAAAGGAAGAUCAUUCAUGACAUGAAUAUUAAAGAAGAACCCAUCAUUAAAAAGCAAAGGGAACAUGGUAUCUUCAUCAUAACUGCAGGAAAAGCCUGUGACAAUCUAGGAGCAGAAGGAUCCCUCCUCAAUCUAAUACGGGUGGUAUAUGACAAACACAGGACAACACUACACUGAAUGGGAAAGUGGGAACAUUUUCUCCCAAACCUGGAAUGGGACAGGAAUUUCCACCCUCUCCAUGUUCAUUCAAUACUUUGCAUGAAGAUGCAAAUCUAGAGCCAUACAUUGAGAGAGAGAAAUAAGAAAGAUGCAAGUAGGAUAAAAGAAAUCAUACCAUCUGUGGUGGUCUGAAUAUUUUUGGCCCAUGGGAGGUGGCACUAUUAGGAGUGGUGGCCCUAUUAGAAGAGGUAUAGCUUUGUUAGAGGAAAUAUCUCCCUGUGGAGGUGGGCUUCAAGGUCUCAUAUAUAUGCUCAGGUCUGGCCAGUGUGAUCCAGAUCUUCUUCCUGGUUGCCUGUAGACUGAGAUAUAGAACUCUUGGCUCCUCUAGCACCAUGUCUGCCUGGGUGCUGCCAUACUUUCCGCCAUGAUGAUAAUGGACUGAACCUCUGAAACUGUAAGCCAGCCCCAAUUAAAUGUUUGCCUUUAUAAGAAUUACCUUGGUUUUGUUGUCCCUUCACACCAGUGAAACCCUGAAAUCUAAUAAACACUGCCAACAAGGUAGUAAGAUGAAAAAGAAAUAAUCUGUUUAUACACAAAUUAAAAAAUCCAUAGCCAGGGGUUGGGGAUUUAGCUCAGUGGUAGAGUGCUUGCCUAGCAAGCGCAAGGCCCUGGGUUCGGUCCCCAGCUCCGAAAAAAAAAAUCCAUAGCCAGGCAGUAGUGGUGCACACCUUUAAUCCCAGCACUCAGGAGACAGAGGCAGAAGUAGUGGCCAGUGAAUUUCUGUGAGUUUGAGGCCAGUCUCAUCUACAGGGGACAGCCAGAUACACACAGGGAAACCAUGUCUUGAAAAACUAAACCACAACAAAAGAAAAUCGCUAGAAAAGUCAGAAAAACAAUCACUUUAGCAAUGUUAUCAAAAUAAAACUUAGUAGCAAGCAUGACCAAGAAUGGAGAAGACCUCUACAAGGAAAACACUAAAGAGAGAAAAGGAAGAUACUAGAAUAUGCAAAGAACUCUCAUGCUCAUGGAUUGGCAGAAUUAACCAUGAAAAUGGCUACAAUACGAAGAAGCAAUCUUUAAUUUCAAUGCAGUCCUCACCAGAAUCCCAAUGCCUUGCUUCGGGGAACUAGAAAAACAAAACAAGGACAAAAAUCCAAACUUUAAAUUCCUUUGAAAACACAAUCCUGUGCACACACAGCAAUCCUGUGCACAAAGCAGUCCUGUGGACACAGCACUGAUGGAGGCACCUUAAUUCCUGACUUUAAAUUAUAUGACAGAACUGCAGUAACACCACCAGGAUGGUACUGACACAAAGGCAUGUGUAGAUCAAUUGAGUGGAAAACAGGACCCUGAGAUGAAUCUGCAACUCUCUGAUUCUUGGCAAAGAUGUCAAAAAGUGGGUGUUGGAGAAGAGACGGCUUCUUCAAGUGGUACAGAGGGGUUAGGGGGGUGGAACCUGGAUUCAGGUGGAGACUCAGCCCUCACCCUGUACAGCAUCAACUCAAAAUGGAUCAAGCAACUUCAUGUAAGACCCUUAACCAACCCUCUGCAGGAAAGCAGAGGAAAGGCUUAGAGACCUUGGCAUAUCAGUGACUUUCUGAGGAGGACAUAAACAGAAAAGGAAAUCAUGACAUUUGCUAUGAGAUGCAUGACAUUGAAAAGCUUUUUCCCAGGAACCAAAACACUGGAGUAAAGAGAUGGCCAACAGAACUAAAGAAUUCAUGUGUGUGUGAGGGAGGGGGUGGGGGCGGUGUCCAGAAUGCAUAAGGAACUAAAUGACUAAAUACGAAAAGAACAAACCAUUUGAUCAACAAAUGGUCAAAUCAACUAAUUGAACACUUUUCAAAAGAAGCAAUAAAUGCACAAAGGGUCCAACGUCUUUAGAAACUAGGAAAAUGAAAUCAAAAUGUAAUCUAUUGAGAGGCUAUCAUCCCAGUUAAAAUGACUACUACCAUCAAGAAAAGAAUAGGUCACUGAGGAUAUAAGGAAAGGACAAUAAACACUGUGGUGUAAGUGUAAAUUAGUGGUGCCACUGUGAGAACAGGUGCCAGUGUCUGAAAUUUAAGACUGAGUUAUUGUUGAGUUCAGCUAUAGCAUUUCUGGGUACAAACCCAGAGGAAUCAAAGUCAGCUUUCUGUAGAGACACCUGCACACCAGGGCCUGUUGCUACACUAUUCACUGGCUACACUGUAGCCAAAUCAUAGAAUCAGCCUAGAUUUUGCAGUGCAGCAAUGGAUAAUGAAAAUGCUGUCCAUUAUGAGUAGAGUUUCAUUAAACUACAGUGGAGGAUGGAUGGCAUUGGGAGAUCAUCCUAUUAAGCAAAAGCAGGGAGUAGCUAUGAUGUAAGGCUUAUGGGAAAGCAUGAGUAGAACCAUUGGAGGUUGGGGGAGCAGGGAGAGCAGGAAGGGGAAUAUAGGGCUGGACAUGGACAAGAUUGUUACAUAGUGUUACAUACUGUUAAAGUUCCCCCGACCUUACCAGAACUGACUCCAUGAAGGAAGCACCAUUCAGGCUUUGAAGCUCAACAUUUAGGCAGCACCAUCUGCCAAAACAAAAACAAGACCUUCUUUAUCAAAGCUCAGAGUUGUAAGAAAGUCUCUGAAUGUACUAAUCUUCCCUUUUGACUUCUGUAGGUCUGCUUCUGGCUGCUCCUGUUAACUGAAAUAUGUAGACCCAGGGUGUCUUUUCUGUGCUUAAAAGCUCACCCUGAGAAAAGCUUGGGUCUACACUGGGGCACCAAACACCCAGUGUAGUCACUGGCUGGAUAAUGAAGACUUUCUAUUGGCUUAAACCCAUGUCUAAGUCAUCUUAGAGAAAACCAUCUCACAACAGUAUAUCUAUAAAAAUGUCACAAAAUCCCUCUUUUUGUCUACUGGAGACACAAAGGUCCUUGCACUCAGAGAGCACUAGAGAACCAGGAAUGUUAAAUAUGCAAGGGUCCUCCUCAAAGAAGGAUAUAAAAUAUCUAUUUUCCAACCAGAAGGUUGGAAGUGGAUAUUUUAAUGACCUGGUGACCCUUUGCUAUCUGUGGAGGCAUAGAUGCCUCACCCAUCCUUUGCUAUAUGUGCAGACCUCACCCACAUUCCCCAGAAUGUUUAUCCCAGCCUCUCCCUCCCUAUCCUUACCUUUAUCUAUAGCUAACAGAGUCCAUGUUAGGGGAACGCCACAUGUAUUCUACGGCCAGCUGACCUCUGUGCUCUCUCUACCAGGGACCACACUGGGUUCUAGGUCUUUAAGCUAUGGUCACACAUACUUUGCAAAGGCAUCUUUAUGUGGUCACACCUUAAGCUUUAUUGUGCUCCUGUAAUGGGGAUGAUUAUAGCCUGGAAACUUUUUCCCAAACUGUACUGUGUUUUCAAUAUGCUGACAGUGAAACACCUGGCAUCAGGCUCCCAAGUUGACAAAGUCAACUUGCACCAGGAUUUUGUUCUCAUCUCUCCGAGGUUCACUUCCCUACAUAGAUCCUUGCAGGGUUCCUCUUUGUGUCUGCAGAUACUGACUGACUGAUUAGUGCUGCUAGUUAUCUAGUUCUGGCCCUCAACACUAUUCCUCACCCAUCUCAGAGUUGGAACUAACUUUUUAUAACUAAAGGAAAAAAAUGAAUCUAUUACUUUAGCAGAUCCCUAGCUUCCAAUAACCUAAAAGCUCAGGUAGUAUCUGCAGCCUAUAGAAAGUCUACCCACAUCUUGUUGAACCUGCUUCUUAAAUAACCCACCAACGCAUUUUAAACUUGCCUUGAUUUAUGACUUUCUCUGUUCUGUAAAACUUGAAACUGCUUCUGCACUGGGACAUGGAAUUUGGGGUGACUUACAUCUGUGUUCCUGGGGCCAUGGCCACCCAAAAUGGCCCCUGAGUAAACUCUUAUUCUCCUUAAGGUGAGAGCUGUGGUUUUGUGUGGACACUUGUAAACAAAGAUUAGACAGGGAAACUUGAGGACUGUGUGUCAUGGGGCUUUGGGUGCAGGGCAUCCCACAGGCUCUUGUUUGACCUGGGGCAGAGAGAGAGGUGUGGCCAGGAGAAAACCACUUACAGGAAGUUUGUGUGGGUUGAAAACAAAGACAGGUGUGGCCAUGCUGACAUGGCACACCUGGCUACGUUUGUGCUGAUAUGUCAGUAAAUCACUUAUUCAGCUCUGGCCUUCUCCACAGCCUCUGACUGCUGACUUCCCCACAAGGGCAUGGCUGAGCUGAUCUCCACAUGCCAGAACACCCAGUGGGAUUCUGAUUCAAGUUUCUAAUUCUUGGGAUGACCUUGAUCUUUGGAGAAUCAGGGAUGAGGAAGAGGUGGCAGGUGACAAGCUCAAUCGGCUCAACAGGAAUUUCAGACCCUGAUCAUACCCUGUGCCUUGCUUCUGUACUUUGGCAAUAUGGCAGAUCGCCUAGAAUCUCUUUGUGAAACACCUUCCCCUCCAUAUUGCCAAGGCCCUGGACAAACCCACCAGCUCCAACUUGAUGGUUCCUGUGGUAUGGCAGUAAGAACCAGAGCCUGGUUGGUCUUAGUGCCUUUGCUGGUACUGCAGGUGGUGGCAUGGGUGGGACUUUUCAUUUGAAGAUGCUCAUCUCUAAGGUGCUAUCUUAGUGACAUUUCCCAAUGGCACCAGUCACCAUGAUUAUGGAACCAAUACAUUGGCAGCUGGUCUAUCACAUCCAUAGUCUGGAAGCAGAGAGUAAACAGGAAGCUGGUCUGUAAAACUCCAAGGUCCACCCACUAUCUCCAGCUAGGCCUCACCUCCCAAAGAUUUCAUAAGCUUUCUAAACAGCACAACCAGAAGGGGGCCAAAUGUUCUAACAUGGGAACCUGUGGGAGACAGUUCACAUUCAAACCAGGUCAGGUGUGGAGGGAAUGCUCCUGCCAGAGGCAGAUUGUAUAAGCAGCCUACAGUGGGCUUCCUCUGUCCUUGUUGCCUGCAUGCCUGGUGCAGAUGCUCUAACUCUGCCCUGAGGUGGUGGUGGUAGUGAUGGUGGUAGCAUUGCUGCUGUACUCAGGAAGGCCCAACACAGCUUCCAAGGUCCCGCACCUGACUAAUGAUAGAUGGGGAUGGGGACCCUUCUCUCUCGAGGCUACAGGUCAACCUAGGUCACUGAGGUGAGAAAAACAUAUUUGCUAAAUCCCGGCCCAUCCCCAGGUUAAACUGAGCUUAGCCUAAUCUGGGGGCACAGGCGGUUCUUACAGGAACUUUUGUUAACCCAUAUCGUUCUGCUCCAGUAACCACAAGGCUUUCGGCUCCCCGAUCAAACAGAAACACUAGGUGAAACCACUGUGCCCUUAUUAAAACUUCAUGUCCUGGCAUGCUUGGUAACAGCUAUCGUAGCUACACCUUACCUUUGGGGGUGGGUGGAACUCCAACAAGGCUUCUGGAAGCAGGCUGGAGGUUAUGUGGGACACAGGACAUGAGUUGGACAAUGUUUUUCCAGGGACUCAUCUUUGCAACCCAGACCCUAGAAAAAGCCUUUGAAAGUGGUGACUAUGACAGCUGUCCAAGGUGAUACCCAGGAAGCCACAUUGGCCUUGGCCAGAGAUUUUCUGAAGACAUCUCAGUGCCGUUAUUGUUUAUCUGAUAAAGAGGUAAAUGGGGAGGAGCAUAGUGAUACAAAGUGGCUUUGGGUGUAUGGGUGGCUGGGUUCAGUAACUUAGACUAUCUGAAUGACUCAGUUGUCUGCUGGCUGGUCAUACACAAAAUGCAGUGUCCCUCUGGCAAUACAUAAGAACCUGGGCUGACUCAGAGAACAUACACAAAUCAAAUGAUACAAAGUAACGAACAGGGUGGAGAGGAGCCAACAGCAAUGUCUCAUCUCCCAAGGUGUGUUUCAGGUGAAUUCAGUGUAAAGGAAGACUAGAGAGACCAAGGAGAGACAGGGAUUAACAGCUAAAGCAAAUCUGUACUCCAUGCAACCUGUGCAUAGUUGGGUAGGAAUGUCCCACUCCUUUCAAAUCAUUUUGUAUUCCAGCAGCCAGCCUUAUUGUGACAACUGAGAGACUGGAGACACUGUUCCUGUGAGAUGCCUGUAGUGACCACCUUCGGGUGGAAUAAUACCUUAGGAGAAAAGAGAGAUAAGUAGGAAGCUAAGUUCUGAGGUGGGAGAGAAGAUACUGCUGCAGAGGAAGUUGAGUGGCUGUCUCAGCGCAGGUCUGAGGGACCCAGGAGGUCAUUUUUGUAGUUCCACUCCAUUGCAGUUAUUAUGAAUGGGAGCCAGAGACUUUGCUCAGGGAUUAAGGAUACUUACUGCUCCUGCAGAGGACCUGAGCUUGGUUCUCAGCACCCACAUCAGGCAGUGCACAACCGCCUGCCUCUCCAAUUCCAGGGGAUCUUAUGCCUUCUGGCCUUCUCAGCUCCUGCAUUCUUGUUGCAUAUAUAAUCUCACCCUAUACACACAAAUGCAUGUAUCAAUAAGUAUUUUUAAGGUGUUAUCUGGCCAUUCCCCUCUUUAUAUACCUGCCAGACACCAUGCAUGAUUUCUAAAGAGCCUCUCGCUCAGGCUGGGGAGAUGGCUCAGAGUUUCAGAGGACAGGCUGUUCUUCCAGAGGUCCUGGGUUCAAUUCCCAGCAACCACACGGUGGCUCACACACAACCAUCUGUAAUGGGAUCCGAUGCCUUCUUCUGGUGUAUCAGAAGACAUCGACAGUGUACUCAUAUACACUACAUAAAUAAAUUUAAGAGAAAAAAAUAGUCCCUCCCUAUACACAGCGGGAGUCCUCAGAGAGUAAAUGCACACAUAGCUAAAGAUUGACAGAGAGAGGGAGCACAUGUGCAUGUUCCUAUGGGAGUCAUUAGAGAGGAAGGUCAGGAUGAGAGCUGUCACUCACAUCGGGAGAUGAAGACGGAGUCACACCCUACCAGUCUAGAUUGAAUUCUCAGGGGUAUCCAUGCCCUCAUCCUCCAUGUAAGCUGCCAGGCUGAGGCUUGCCCAGGACAUCAACAGAAGGCCUGAAGGAUCCCUGAGCCCCAUCCCUUCGAGAUCCCUCCCAGAAAACUAUGUGGACUUUUCAUUAGGAAAGAGUUUUAGCUCUCAGAUACUUCCAAAUUACUACUCAGAAGGAGGAAAACUGGACAUAGAAAAUUGAUUUGAGAGAUUAGCAGUUUUAGAACAUGUCUGCCAAGCUAUAGGCACUUUCCUUACACCCAUUUAAUCCUCUCCAUCUCUCCUCUAAGUCCUCUGGUGCCACACUGCCCCCUGGUGGCAGACUGUCCUCUCGUGGCACACUGCCCCCUGGUGGCACACUGCCCCCUGGUGGCACACUGCCCCCUGGUGGCAGUUUGCCCUCUGGUGGCAGACUGCCCUCUGGUGGCACACUGCCCCCUGGUGGCACACUGCCCCAUGGUGGCAUACUCCCCUCUGGUCACAGAGCAAGUGACAGAGGCUUGUCCUAGUGUCUUCCAAUUUCUUGUACCUAAAAGGUAGUUAACUGAAAGACAGUAGUUUAUGAUGAUGUAGAAAAUCUUUGCUAUUUUAGAUACAGACAGUUUUCAGGAGUGAAAGUACAAUGUGUACAUUGUUCGCUUUCAAGGAAGUUAGGUCAAAAUGAAAUUAGGUUUUGGUGGGGGAAAAGCUGAAGGGAAGUGUUGUCUGAAAUGUGAUAUCCCCUGGUGCCUUAAUUGCAGGCAAAAUGUCAAUGUGAAGGACAGUCCUGUGAAGGAUAAACGUACUGAUUUGUUUCAACACCAGAGAAAAAUGACUGAUGUGGUGUGAGAAUGUGUUUCCUUUUAAAGCUUAUGUAUUGAAAACUAGUCCUGACAGGCUUGCCUGCAGCCAUACUGAGUAGGCAAGCAGAACUAAAGACUUUCAGAGAUCCUCUGGCUGCCAUAUGGUGCAAUGGGUGGGUGCCCCUAUGAUGAGCAAGUGUGGUGGAGAGAAAGAGGGAAAGGAAGGUAAACGGAUUUUGUACUGGCCGAUGCCAUCUUGGAAAGUCUAAGGCAAGUAAAUUUUCUGGUGAUGGUCCACCAUUUUGCUUGGCCUGUGAUGGGUAAACUCUGAGAUGUAGGUUUCUUAGAGGCUUCAUCCCCGGGUUGCUUCUCACUGCUGAUCUGCCUUUCCUGUCACAAUAGUGACAAUGCCUAAUGAUUCCUGGGCCUCGGCACAACCUCUUGGGCAAAUGUCCUGCAGAUCGACAUGAAGAUGACCUUUCAUGAACUAAUGCUGUUUAGAUGAACUCAAUUCUAUAGAAUUCCUGAUUUGAAUCAAAUGAUUUUAGGAAGACUGUUUUAGGAGAUGGUUUUAGUUGUUUUGACAGGAAGAUAAAGUUGUGGCCCUUUCUCAUAGAAUAGUAAGUGAAGGCUACAUAAUAAGGAAUACAAUGACCUUUCAUAAAUUGGACAAAGAAGAGAGAUAGGCUUGGGACAAAUGUGUGAUCAAGGAACAACCCUCUAGGUCAGGUCCAAGGAUGAGUCCACAGGAGUGCACUAUGAUAAAGCAAGGCCAUGUGGUACUGUUGCUUUGAACUUAUAAUGAGCUUACAGAACGAAACAUUGCUUUGAACUUCUAAACUUCUGUAACUCCCCUUUUGUGUAACAUUUUAUCUAUGAGGUAGUUGUCUAAAGAACUUUUGUCUAAGAAGAUAUAAAAAAACUGAGAGAAGAAAUGAAGGGUGGCUGUUGGGGCUCAUCCCCAUAUGUACAUGUACAUACAUACAUACAUGUGUGUGUGUGUGUGUGUGUGUGUGUGUGUGUGCGUGUGUGUGUUGUCUCUACAAAUGAUAUUCUUUGCAUUUCUUUUCUCUGUGGUUCACAAAGAGUUAAUGAGUCCCAAGCCUCUAUCCUGCCAGUAAGAGGCCCUUGAGCCAGGGAGAAAGGGCCUAGCAAUUAAGCCUCCCCCCCCCCCCUUCUUAGUCCUUCUGCUACUAUCAGCAGGUGAUUAUUAACAGAAAACAGUGGCAUUUAGCCACAGAAUAGUAUGAAACCACCACUUAUUAGCACAAAAUAGUAAGAGAGAGUUACAGAGUCAGAGGUCAUCAGUCUUUGACAUUCACCUGAGGUUGUCAUUCUUCUUCCGUUCAUUCCGAAGACCAGGGCAGGUCCCUGCCAGUGCACUAUAAGAAAACUGGAAAUGGAGGGGAGAGGGUAGUGAGGAAGAGCCUGAGUGAGUAGCCUAUGCUGUUACCUGAGACCAUGAUGAUAUAAAGGCCUGUGUUGUCAUUGAGGGCCAUGUCUCAGUCUGUGACCUUACAGUAACAGGGGUCUGUGUCAAUGUCCAUGGAUGAUGGUACCACCAAAGGCCAUGUGAACUUCUCUAGUCUGGGCUGUUUCCAGGGACCUGAUUGAUGUCAGAGGGCUGUAAAGAACUGCCCCUACCCCUCACCCGCUGCACCAUGGCAGAGCUGACCCUCUUGUCUUAAGAGUAGGAGAGCUGAUCCUGUCCCUUGGCCUGGCUGGUGCAGGAGAGCUGGCCCCAACCCCUCAACAGCUGCUGCAGCCAGGCUUUCACUCGAUUCUCGGUACCGUGUUGGUGCAGGAGCCAACAAACGGAGGUCCCACCGAGAUUUGAACUUUGAAUUCAGUGAUCCGAGACUGGGAAAGAAAAGGUCUCCUGAUGGGACGUCACGGGAAGCCGGCUCAGAAACAGGACUGGGUGUGGUGGGUUCCUCUGUGCAGAGCACCCUGUCCUCAACCCUGGACUCAUAGGUGGCUUCCUCCCAGGAAACCCCUCAGAGCCCCUCCUGACAGGCCCAGCUCUCAUUCUUCUACAUCAGCAGCUCUCAACCUAGGUUGUGCCCCUUUGGGGGUUGAAUGACCCUUUCACAGGGGUCACGGAAGACCAUCAGAAAACACAGAUAUUUACAUUAAGAAUCAUAACAGCAGGAAAAUUACAGUUAUGAAGUAGCACUGGAAAUAGUUUUAUGAUUAGGGGGUUACCACAAUUCAAGGAACGAUAUUAAAGGGUCGAAGCAUUAGGAAGGUUGAGAACCACAUUAUUCACCAUCUGAGUCACAGCCUACCUAGGUCAAGUAUUCAUCUGGGUGAGACAGCACUCUCAGAGAUGACCUAGCAGACAGUGGUGGUCGUGUUUAGAGACUGUACUCUGGCAAGGAGGAGGACGCUUGGAUUUCUGGGCCAUUCUCGAGUUGUAAUUGUCCAGUUGAACAACCUUUGUAAUAAAAAUCUCAGGCAGGUAGAAACUGUCUUUGCUUGCAUCAAGUGGCACAAGUUCCUCCGUUCUUUGGAAGUUUCAGGUCCCUUCCUCAGGGUCCCACCUGGCGACCUGCCCUGGCAGGAAGAUGGUGCAGACGAUUCCCAUCCUUUGAAGGGGACCUCAGCUGGAGAGUGCUAUGUGCACAGGAGGCAAAGAUGAUGGCAGUCUGGGGAGAACUGGUUGCCUUCUGUCCCGGCUGGAUAUUUUUCAUUCAAGAUGAAACCAGCAUGAGACUUGAUCCCACUGAUUCCACAGCUUUCUAUCACUGGAGAGCAAAUCUCCACAGCAGGUUGGCUGUUCUGGGAUGACUUUGCCUCUCCAGGAGGAGUUCACAGGGAAGGCAUUCUGAGGAGAAUAGCUGUAAGAAUACGAUGUUCACGGUUGGCUUCACACAGGUCACAGUAUCUGCAGCAAUAGUCCUGACUGAGAUGUUGUCCAUGAGUCCAGAGCUAACAGACAACCCCAGUCCUGGGAACCUGAGAGCCUGGGGCAGACCCACCAAGAAACCCGGCCUACCUUCAGAAGACCAAGAAGAGAUGUCUUCUCCUGCCUUAUGGACUUGCAUUUCUCUGGAGACUAUCAUGCAGUUGCUUCUCUAUGUAUCCAUGGCAUUAAUAAACUUCUUAGUCCCCAGUAA